CCUUGACAUACUAAGAACUUUCCAGAGAUGGAUUGGUGCCUUCGGGAACUUAGAUACAGGUGCUGCAUGGCUGUCGUCAGCUCGUGUCGUGAGAUGUUGGGUUAAGUCCCGNAACGAGCGCAACCCUUUUCCUUAUUUGCCAGCGGGUCAUGCCGGGAACUUUAAGGAUACUGCCAGUGACAAACUGGAGGAAGGCGGGGACGACGUCAAGUCAUCAUGGCCCUUACGGCCAGGGCUACGCACGUGCUACAAUGGUCGGUACAAAGGGUUGCUACCUCGCGAGAGGAUGCUAAUCUCAAAAAGCCGAUCGUAGUCCGGAUCGCAGUCUGCAACUCGACUGCGUGAAGUCGGAAUCGCUAGUAAUCGCGGAUCAGAAUGCCGCGGUGAAUACGUUCCCGGGCCUUGUACACACCGCCCGUCACACCAUGGGAGUUUGUUGCACCAGAAGUAGGUAGUCUAACCGCAAGGAGGACGCUUACCACGGUGUGGCCGAUGACUGGGGUGAAGUCGUAACAAGGUAAGCGUAGAUGA
RNAcentral lists this ribosomal RNA (531 nucleotides) under uncultured bacterium. RNAcentral describes it as "bacterial SSU rRNA". It matches the Rfam family "Bacterial small subunit ribosomal RNA", at positions 979 to 1509 of the family's 1533-position model. The record is from RNAcentral.